Cyanistes caeruleus (blue tit) is the source of this 243-nucleotide non-coding RNA. The record is from RefSeq and is a predicted model, not a curated record. NCBI's taxonomy places the organism in Eukaryota, Metazoa, Chordata, Aves, Passeriformes, Paridae.
GCUUCCAAAAUCAAGAGUCCCAUUACCAGUCAUGUUUCUCACUGUGACGGUGACGGGAGCCACGCUGCAGUUCAGCAGCCGCAAAUUAGUGGCAGUCCAGAACUCCGAGAGCUUGGUCUUCAUCCAGACAGACAAACCCAUCUACAAGCCUGGGCAGACAGUCCUCUUCAGAAUUGUUUCUCUGGAUGAAGAGUUCCGACCUGUGAAUGAAAUGAUUCCAUUGGUAUAUAUUGAGGUAUGUAC